GAUUAGCUCAACUGGAUAGAGCGUUGGCCUCCGGAGCCGAAGGUUGUGGGUUCGAAUCCCGUAUCU
RNAcentral lists this transfer RNA (66 nucleotides) under uncultured Treponema sp. It matches the Rfam family "tRNA", at positions 5 to 66 of the family's 71-position model. Rfam says of the family: Transfer RNA (tRNA) molecules are approximately 80 nucleotides in length. Their secondary structure includes four short double-helical elements and three loops (D, anti-codon, and T loops). The record is from RNAcentral. Lineage: Bacteria; Pseudomonadati; Spirochaetota; Spirochaetia; Treponematales; Treponemataceae.